CCAGACUCCUACGGGAGGCAGCAGUGGGGGAUAUUGCACAAUGGGGGGAACCCUGAUGCAGCGACGCCGCGUGGGUGAAGAAGUAUUUCGGUAUGUAAAGCCCUGUCGGCAGGGAAGAAAUUGGACGGUACCUGACUAAGAAGUCCUGGCUAACUACGUGCCAGCAGCCGCGGUAAUACGUAGGGAGCGAGCGUUGUCCGGAAUUACUGGGUGUAAAGGGAGCGUAGGCGGGGAUGCAAGUUGGGUGUUAAAUCUACCGGCUCAACUGGUAGUCGCACUCAAAACUGCAGCUCUUGAGUGAAGUAGAGGCAGGCGGAAUUCCUAGUGUAGCGGUGAAAUGCGUAGAUAUUAGGAGGAACACCAGUGGCGAAGGCGGCCUGCUGGACGACAACUGACGGUGAGGCGCGAAAGCGUGGGGAGCAAACAGGAUUAGAUACCCCAGUAA
Molecule: ribosomal RNA, 445 nt
Filed under: uncultured bacterium
Lineage: Bacteria
Description: bacterial SSU rRNA
Rfam family: Bacterial small subunit ribosomal RNA
Source: RNAcentral